This 1199-nucleotide long non-coding RNA is filed under the name Homo sapiens (human). Its description in RNAcentral is "non-protein coding lnc-B4GALT1-1:1". Lineage: Eukaryota; Metazoa; Chordata; Mammalia; Primates; Hominidae. The record is from RNAcentral.
GGGAGACCUAAAGUCACCACAGGGAGAUUUCAGCUGGACUCUUCUAUCUCCUUGUUGGCCUACCUGCAGUACAAAGCUUUUCUUUUCUCAAAAACCAGGUGUCACAGUAUUGGUUUCUAGAACAUUGGGCAGUGAGUGCUUUUGCGCUUUGGUCGGUAACACCUGGAUCUGAUUUAGACAAUACUUUGGACCUGAAGUCUUAAUUAGUUGAACUUUUGGGGGAUUUUAAGAAGACACUAAUGUAUUUUACCUGUGAGAAGAAUCUAAAUAAUCUGUGGCCAUUGGGCAAACUACUGUGGAAUAAAGGUGCCUGACAAUUCUUUGUCCCUCCUCCCAUCAAGAGGUGGAGUCAGCCAGGUGAAAUGGCUCAUGCUGGUAAUCUCAGCACUUUGGGAGGCCAAAGCAGGAAGACUGCGUGAGCUCAGGAGUUCGAGACUAGCCUGAGCAAUAUCGCAACAUCUCAUCUCUACUAAAAAUUUUAAAAUUAGCUGGACGUGGAGGCGCAUCCCGGUAGUCCCAGCUACUCGGGAGGCUGAGGCAGGAGAAUCACUUGAGCCCAGGAGUUUGACGUUAUAGUGACCUAUGAUCACACCACUGCACUACAGGCUGGUUGAUAAAGGAAGAUCCUGUCUAAAAAAAAAAGUAAAAACAAGAGGCCGAGCCAGUUUUAUUCCCCUUGAAUCUGGCCUGCCCUAUAAACUUGUUUUAAGCAAAAGAAUGCUUUAGAAGUGAUGCUAAGGCUGGGCUUUCAGGGAUCUCCAUCUUCUGUAUUUUUGAAAUGCUCCUUUUUGGAAUGCUUCCUCUAGUUUGUGAGGAAACCCAAGCAGCCACAUGGAGAGUCCUUUGUGGAGAGAUCCAAGUGGAGAAUGAAGGCCCCAUGACCCAACCCAUUCUGAGUUUCCAGCCCCCAGACAGCCCCAACUGCCAUUCACAUGAGUGAAGCCAUUUUGGAACUUCCAACUGUGCCAGUGCCUCAGCUGACACCAUGUGAGGCAAAGCUGCCCAGCCAACUGCAAAACUGCGAGAAAUUGUUGCUUCAAAACACCCACCAAGGCCCACUGGCCAGAACGCCGCCGCGGCCCCAAACCACUCCAGAUAACCACCCGCCAGCUGUCCUCUCCGUUCUCUCCGCCGCCGCGCUGCAGGCCCAGGCUCGCACCCGAGUCCCUUCGCACCCCAGGAAGUGGCGCGGCCUGUCG